Small nucleolar RNA from Esox lucius (northern pike), 69 nucleotides. Its record names the gene SNORD24. It matches the Rfam family "Small nucleolar RNA SNORD24". From Rfam's summary of the family: U24 is a member of the C/D class of snoRNA which contain the C (UGAUGA) and D (CUGA) box motifs. C/D box snoRNAs have been shown to act as methylation guides for a number of RNA targets. The record is from Ensembl. Lineage: Eukaryota; Metazoa; Chordata; Actinopteri; Esociformes; Esocidae.
UGCAGAUGAUGUAAAGAAUAUUUGCUAUCUAAUCAACAAUGCUGACAACCCACCAAGAUCGCUGAUGCA